RNAcentral lists this ribosomal RNA (402 nucleotides) under Triticum aestivum (bread wheat). RNAcentral's name for it is "partial small subunit ribosomal RNA". The record is from RNAcentral. Lineage: Eukaryota; Viridiplantae; Streptophyta; Magnoliopsida; Poales; Poaceae.
ACGAACGAGCUCAACAAACUCUCCACCUACCAGCCCUACUACGGGCACGAUCAGGUUCACACCGCCAAUGGUGUAGGUAUGCCCAUCUCUCACAUUGGCCAAGCAUCUCUUUUAACUAGUCAUCCCUCUAUGCAGCUCCAUCUUCAUAAUGUUUUACGGGUACCCUCGGUGACUCGUAAUCUUUUAUCUGUCCCUAAGCUCACCCUUGAUAAUCAUGUCCAAUGUGAAUUUCACCAUUUUAAUCUUUUUGUUAAGGACCGAGCAACCCGGGACAUUUUGCUUAGUGGCCGGUUGAGCCAAGGCUUGUACCGUUUGGAGGAUCCAUCCGCCCCGUGCGUCUUCAGCGGUGUUCGUGUGUCGCCUUCCCAGUGGCACUCUCGCUUUGGUCACCCCGCCACACCC